CCUACGGGAGGCUGCAGUGGGGAAUAUUGGACAAUGGGCGAAAGCCUGAUCCAGCCAUGCCGCGUGUGUGAAGAAGGCCUUCGGGUUGUAAAGCACUUUCAGUGGGGAAGAAAGCCUUGGGGCUAAUACCCUCGAGGAAGGACAUCACCCACAGAAGAAGCACCGGCUAACUCCGUGCCAGCAGCCGCGGUAAUACGGAGGGUGCGAGCGUUAAUCGGAAUUACUGGGCGUAAAGCGCGCGUAGGCGGUCUGAUAAGCCGGUUGUGAAAGCCCCGGGCUCAACCUGGGAACGGCAUCCGGAACUGUCAGGCUAGAGUGCAGGAGAGGAAGGUAGAAGUCCCGGUGUAGCGGUGAAAUGCGUAGAGAUCGGGAGGAAUACCAGUGGCGAAGGCGGCCUUCUGGACUGAUACUGACGCUGAGGUGCGAAAGCGUGGGUAGCAAACAGGAUUAGAUACCCGAGUAGUC
This 465-nucleotide ribosomal RNA is filed under the name Vreelandella stevensii. RNAcentral's name for it is "partial 16S ribosomal RNA". It matches the Rfam family "Bacterial small subunit ribosomal RNA", at positions 338 to 795 of the family's 1533-position model. Lineage: Bacteria; Pseudomonadati; Pseudomonadota; Gammaproteobacteria; Oceanospirillales; Halomonadaceae. The record is from RNAcentral.